Molecule: long non-coding RNA, 1501 nt
Filed under: Struthio camelus australis
Lineage: Eukaryota; Metazoa; Chordata; Aves; Struthioniformes; Struthionidae
Description: lncRNA (ENSSCUG00000012483.1)
Source: RNAcentral
NNNNNNNNNNNNNNNNNNNNNNNNNNNNNNNNNNNNNNNNNNNNNNNNNNNNNNNNNNNNNNNNCCCGGGACCCAGCCAGGGUCUCCUGUGAGCUGUGCAGAGCAGGAGCAGCCUGGCAGCUUCCUGCAGGGCAGCUCUGAGCAGCCGCGUCUGUUGGCCACGUGCCAGCACUGAGUGGAUCCCUCCUGGGCAGAUCCCAGACAGAUCACGUAGGGUGGUGGCUGGAUCCGGCAGGAAUCUCCCUAGCACCCUGCAGAGGGGAGCAGACUCGGCACCCGGCUGAAUGGGUGCUGCAAGGUGGCAGCACCCAGUGGCUCCCUCUGUGGGCAGAACCCCCAGGGCUGCGCCCAGGAUCCAGCAGGAUCCCGCUAGAGCUUUGCAGAGCAGGGAACAGACUUGGCACCUUCCUGCUGGGCUAGCUGGAGACGACAGCACCCACUGGCCGAGGGCCAGCACCAAGUGGAUCCCUCCGCAGGCAGCUUCUAGGAGAUGCCCUAGGGCUGGGCUGAGAUCCAGCAGGGAUCUCCCAGGAGAUCUGCAGAGUGGGGAGCAGACCUUCCAGCAAGGCUGCUCUGAGCCAGCAGUGCUCCCUGGCCGAGCAUCAUCACCAAGUGGAUCCCUCUCCAAGCAGAUCCUGGGCAGAUCACCCAGGGCUUGCAUCCAGCAGGGAUCUCCCUCGAGCUCUGCAAAGCGAGGAGCAGCCUUGGCACGUCUCUUUAGACUGCUCCAAGACAGCCGUGUCUGUUGGCUGACUGUCAGCAUCAGGCGGGAUCCCUCUCCAGGCAGAUUCUUGGGAGAUUGUCCAGAGCUGGGAUCCAGCAGGGAUCCCCCCACAGCUCUGCAGAGCAGAGAGCAGACUGGCCUGCUCCAAGGAAUCAGUGUCUGCUGGCCAAGCAUCAGCACUGAAUGGAUCCCUCUCCAGGCAGAUCCCAAGCAGAUUCCCCAGAGUUGGGCUGGGACCCAGCAAGGAUCCCCUAAGCUUUGCAGAACAGAAAGACUGCAUUGCUCUGAGACAGCAGCACUUGCUCCCCAUGUGUCAGCUCUAAGCAGAUCCCCCUCCAGGCAGACCCAAGGCAGAUCUCCCAGAGCUGGGCUGGGAUCCAGCAAGGAUCCCCUUAGAGCUUUGCAGAGCCAAGAUCAGACUAGGGUGCUCGGAGACAGCAGUGUCCGCUGGCUGGCCGGAUCCCUCUCCAAGCAGAUCCCCGAGGGCUGGGAUCGAGCAGGCAUUGACCAAGAGCUGUGCAGAGUCGGGAGCAGACUGGACUGCUCCAAAGGCAGCGCCUGCUGGCUGAGUGCCGUCUCCGAGCAGAUCCUCCUGCAGCAAUAUCCCAAGCAGAUCCCCAGGGCUGAGCCGGGAACCAGCAGGGAUCCCCCUAAAGUCCUGCAGAACGGAGGGCAGCCUGGGCUGCUCUGAGCCAGCGGGGAUCGCUGCCCAGGGGUCAGCUCUAAGCGGAUCCCUCUCCAGGCAGAUCCCGAGCAGAUCCCCCAGGGCUGGGCUGG